Molecule: long non-coding RNA, 801 nt
Organism: Lucilia cuprina (Australian sheep blowfly)
Lineage: Eukaryota; Metazoa; Arthropoda; Insecta; Diptera; Calliphoridae
Exons: 2
Source: RefSeq, a predicted model, not a curated record
AAUCAUAUAUAAAUAUUUUUGAAAUUUUUGAAUUUGAAAUCUUUAUUUAGUUUCAAAAUACUAAAUAUUGAAUUUCAAAACAAAAUUUUGAUAAAUUUAAAUAAAAUAACUACAACACUGUGUAAAUAACAAAAUCACAAUAUCAAAUUUAGAUCAAAUAUUAAAAAAAAAAAUUGCCAAAAUCAUUAAAUAUAAUAAAACAAUUUUUAACAACAUAACCUUAAAAAUUUAAUUAAAAAAAGUAAAUAAAUUAGAACAUUUUUACAUAUUUGCUCAUAAAUCAUAAACAACAUAAAUAAACAAAAACAAAUAUAUCAAACUAUAAGCCAUCCUGUCCCACCAUCAAACUUUUUUAUUAAACCAAAGCAACACAAUAUCUGUAUUCAACGAAAAACUUAAGAAAAACUCUAAAAACGGGGCUUUAUUCUCUUGGUGACAACUAAUAAAAAGAGGGUAUCUCUAGUAUAUACAUCGUAAAAACAUAAACAUCUACGCUUCUUACUUUACACUGAGAGAGAAUUAGAAUUCGUUUUAUAAAAUAAAGGAUUAUGGAAAAAAAAACUCGACAUAACUGUGUACAACCCUGGCCUAAUAGAAAAAACGUUUGUCAAAUACUUGAUGGCGAUGAUGAUCGUAUUGUAAAGAUGAUGACGAUGACAACUGGAUGCAUAUAAAGCGGAAAAUCUACGCCUUAAAGAAGAGAAUGGAGCGCUAAUUAGAGUUAUAAGUAAAUUAAGUAAAUGAAAUUCACUUAAUUAAAUAAUUUAAAUUAACAAACACACAUACACAGAGAGAAAACAA